RNAcentral lists this ribosomal RNA (514 nucleotides) under uncultured Bacillota bacterium. RNAcentral's name for it is "bacterial SSU rRNA". It matches the Rfam family "Bacterial small subunit ribosomal RNA", at positions 355 to 859 of the family's 1533-position model. The record is from RNAcentral. Lineage: Bacteria; Bacillati; Bacillota.
UAGGGAAUCUUCCGCAAUGGACGAAAGUCUGACGGAGCAACGCCGCGUGAGUGAUGAAGGUUUUCGGAUCGUAAAACUCUGUUGUUAGGGAAGAACAAGUACCGUUCGAAUAGGGCGGUACCUUGACGGUACCUAACCAGAAAGCCACGGCUAACUACGUGCCAGCAGCCGCGGUAAUACGUAGGUGGCAAGCGUUGUCCGGAAUUAUUGGGCGUAAAGCGCGCGCAGGUGGUUUCUUAAGUCUGAUGUGAAAGCCCACGGCUCAACCGUGGAGGGUCAUUGGAAACUGGGGAACUUGAGUGCAGAAGAGGAAAGUGGAAUUCCAAGUGUAGCGGUGAAAUGCGUAGAUAUUUGGAGGAACACCAGUGGCGAAGGCGACUUUCUGGUCUGUAACUGACACUGAGGCGCGAAAGCGUGGGGAGCAAACAGGAUUAGAUACCCUGGUAGUCCACGCCGUAAACGAUGAGUGCUAAGUGUUAGAGGGUUUCCGCCCUUUAGUGCUGCAGCUAACGCU